RNAcentral lists this ribosomal RNA (694 nucleotides) under uncultured archaeon. RNAcentral's name for it is "bacterial SSU rRNA". It matches the Rfam family "Archaeal small subunit ribosomal RNA", at positions 325 to 1020 of the family's 1478-position model. The record is from RNAcentral.
ACGGGGUGCAGCAGGCGCGAAAACUCCGCAAUACACGAAAGUGUGACGGGGGGACCCCAAGUGCAUUCACGCAAGUGAAUGCUUUUGUGAAGUGUAAAUAGCUUUGCGAAUAAGAGCUGGGUAAGACCGGUGCCAGCCGCCGCGGUAACACCGGCAGCUCGAGUGGUGAUCACUGUUAUUGGGCCUAAAGCGUCCGUAGCCUGUUUGAUAAGUCCUUGGGCAAAUCCUGCCGCUUAACGGUAGGAAUUCUGAGGAUACUGUCAGACUUGAGGCCGAGAGAGGUCGGAGGUACUCCUGGGGUAGCGGUGAAAUGCUAUAAUCCUAGGGGGACCACCAGUGGCGAAAGCGUCCGACCAGAGCGGGCCUGACGGUAAGGGACGAAAGCCAGGGGAGCGAACGGGAUUAGAUACCCCGGUAGUCCUGGCCGUAAACGCUGUGGGCUAGGUGUUGCAUGCUCUACGAGGGCGUGCAGUGCCGUAGAGAAGUUGAUAAGCCUACCGCCUGGGAAGUACUAUCGCAAGAUAGAAACUUAAAGGAAUUGGCGGGGGAGCACCACAAGGGGUGAAGUCUGCGGUUUAAUUGGAUUCAACGCCGGAAAUCUCACUGGAAGCGACGGCAGUAUGAUGGCCAAGCUGAUGACUUUGCUUGACGAGCCGAGAGGAGGUGCAUGGCCGUCGUCAGCUCGUACCGUAAG